GAUGAACGCUGGCGGCGUGCCUAAUACAUGCAAGUCGAGCGAACGGACGAGACGCUUGCUUCUCUGAUGUUAGCGGCGGACGGGUGAGUAACACGUGGAUCACCUACCUAUAAGACUGGGAUAACUUCGGGAAACCGUAGCUAAUACCGGAUAAUAUUUUGAACCGCAUGGUUCAAAAGUGAAAGACGGUCUUGCUGUCACUUAUAGAUGGAUCCGCGCUGCAUUAGAUAGUUGGUAGGGUAACGGCUUACCAAGGCAACGAUGCAUAGCCGACCUGAGAGGGGGAUAGGCCACACGGGAGCGGAGACACGGACCAGACGCCUACGAGAGGGAGCAGUAGGGAAUCUUCCGCAAUGGGGGGAAACAUGGCGGAGCGGGGCCGCGUGAGUGAUGGAGGUCUUCGGAUCGGAAAACUCUGUUAUGAGGGAAAAACAGAUGUGGAAGUUACUGUGCACAGCGUGACGGUAACUAGUAAGAAAGCCACGGCUAACUACGUG
This 497-nucleotide ribosomal RNA is filed under the name uncultured bacterium. Its description in RNAcentral is "partial 16S ribosomal RNA". It matches the Rfam family "Bacterial small subunit ribosomal RNA", at positions 28 to 507 of the family's 1533-position model. The record is from RNAcentral.